AUGGGACAUGAAACUUGUUUCUACGCAAAAAGACUGCAUCCCACACGCAAGAAAAAUUUUUGAUGCAUGGGCACUUGGUUUCAUGACUCCAAAUUUUUGGUACAUGUAGCCAAGGACUGACCCAACUCAAACUCAAAGUUAGUUUAAAUUAAUUUGGCUUUAAUUAGCCCAAUCUAGAAUCAAUUUUGAAUCCGAUUCAAAAUAGGA
Molecule: long non-coding RNA, 207 nt
Filed under: Elaeis guineensis (African oil palm)
Lineage: Eukaryota; Viridiplantae; Streptophyta; Magnoliopsida; Arecales; Arecaceae
Description: long non-coding RNA (EGUI_LNC052329)
Source: RNAcentral